GAAUGAGAACCGGUCCGCGUGGUCAGUCGAAAGACCCCACGUGCCAGUAAGAGACCGUAACCCUCCACCCUUGUGUAUUAUUCAACUGUUGCUUUGGUGGGCCGCAAACCUUCGGGUGAGCACCGGCUCCGGCUGGAGAGUGCCCGCCAGAGGACCCAACUCUAUAAUUUAUUAUUGUCUGAGUACUAUUUAAUAGUUA
This 199-nucleotide unclassified non-coding RNA is filed under the name uncultured Ascomycota. Its description in RNAcentral is "sequence contains ITS1". Lineage: Eukaryota; Fungi; Ascomycota. The record is from RNAcentral.